This is a long non-coding RNA of Cygnus atratus (black swan), 824 nucleotides long. RefSeq lists it as uncharacterized. The transcript has 3 exons. The record is from RefSeq and is a predicted model, not a curated record. NCBI's taxonomy places the organism in Eukaryota, Metazoa, Chordata, Aves, Anseriformes, Anatidae.
GGUUCACAUCCUGGGAUGAAUCACCACAGACAAACAGCUCCAGAAGAGACAUGGCUCAGAGGCCCAUAGAGGAGAAGAGGAGCUGUCUGUCGCUCUGGGCACGCUUCUUUCAGGAGUAGCUGCUCUCCUGACUCAGACAAGACUGCACGUGAAUUAAUGGUAGCAGCCACCUUGGAAAUGACUUUGUUAUUUAUCAGAGACUGUUUGAACAUAUGCCAGUUUCCCCCACAAGGCCUCAUUCAGGACCCAUCAGGAUCAAUGGAAAAACUCCAGUUAAUAAGACCUUGAUGCAAGUCCAGAUCUAAUUUCAAAAGUCUCCCAAGAAGGAUCUACUUAUGAUGUUGAAAACAGACCAGAAGCAGAUGAUGUAAGAGCAACAAUAUGUCCCUGAGCAACAGCAAAGCAGCAGGUGCAGGAGAAGCAUAUGCCGCAUUCCCAGCAGCAGAAGCAGCCAUGCAAAGGUCUCUCAGGGACCGCAUGUGGGAUGCAUGCUCCACUUUUCCUCUGGCACUGAGGGAUGUUAAUAAGCCUGCAUCAAACCAAGCAAGUAAUUUACAAACUUAACUUUCAAUUAUGUAAUAAUUCAUAGAGUAAACACACAGACUUCAGUACAAGAGAAUUUCUCAGGCAAAGCAACCUGGGCCUUUAAUAAAAUAUCUUAUUUUACUUCUAAAUAUUGAAUGUCCAGAAAUAAUAAUAAAGGAAAUUAGAAACCUUAGCUCUGACCCUAUCCCCAAAACUAUCCCACACAGUGAGAAACAUGAAAAGUUUCCAUUCAUUUAUUCAAAAAAAAAAAAAAAGACAUUACUUUCAAAAAAUACUUU